ACGCUAGCGGGAGGCCUAACACAUGCAAGCCGAGCGGUAUUUGUCUUUCGGGACAGAGAGAGCGGCGUACGGGUGCGGAACACGUGUGCAACCUACCUUUAUCAGGGGGAUAGCCUUUCGAAAGGAAGAUUAAUACCCCAUAAUAUAUUGAUUGGCAUCAGUUAAUAUUGAAAACUCCGGUGGAUAGAGAUGGGCACGCGCAAGAUUAGAUAGUUGGUAGGGUAACGGCCUACCAAGUCAGUGAUCUUUAGGGGGCCUGAGAGGGUGAUCCCCCACACUGGUACUGAGACACGGACCAGACUCCUACGGGAGGCAGCAGUGAGGAAUAUUGGACAAUGGGUGAGAGCCUGAUCCAGCCAUCCCGCGUGAAGGACGACGGCCCUAUGGGUUGUAAACUUCUUUUGUAUAGGGAUAAACCUACUCUCGUGAGAGUAGCUGAAGGUACUAUACGAAUAAGCACCGGCUAACUCCGUGCCAGCAGCCGCGGUAAUACGGAGGGUGCAAGCGUUAUCCGGAUUUAUUGGGUUUAAAGGGUCCGUAGGCGGAUCUGUAAGUCAGUGGUGAAAUCUCAUAGCUUAACUAUGAAACUGCCAUUGAUACUGCAGGUCUUGAGUAAAGUAGAAGUGGCUGGAAUAAGUAGUGUAGCGGUGAAACGCAUAGAUAUUACUUAGAACACCAAUUGCGAAGGCAGGUCACUAUGUUUUAACUGACGCUGAUGGACGAAAGCGUGGGGAGCGAACAGGAUU
Molecule: ribosomal RNA, 746 nt
Filed under: uncultured bacterium
Lineage: Bacteria
Description: bacterial SSU rRNA
Rfam family: Bacterial small subunit ribosomal RNA
Source: RNAcentral